UACGUAGGGCGCAAGCGUUGUCCGGAAUUAUUGGGCGUAAAGAGCUCGUAGGCGGUUUGUCGCGUCUGCCGUGAAAACCCGGGGCUUAACCUCGUGGCUUGCGGUGGAUACGGGCAGACUAGAGGUAGGUAGGGGAGAAUGGAAUUCCCGGUGUAGCGGUGAAAUGCGCAGAUAUCGGGAGGAACACCGGUGGCGAAGGCGGUUCUCUGGGCCUUACCUGACGCUGAGGAGCGAAAGCGUGGGGAGCGAACAGG
This 254-nucleotide ribosomal RNA is filed under the name uncultured bacterium. Its description in RNAcentral is "partial 16S ribosomal RNA". It matches the Rfam family "Bacterial small subunit ribosomal RNA", at positions 524 to 776 of the family's 1533-position model. The record is from RNAcentral.